This 2165-nucleotide ribosomal RNA is filed under the name Sursumura falcata. Its description in RNAcentral is "SSU rRNA". It matches the Rfam family "Eukaryotic small subunit ribosomal RNA". Lineage: Eukaryota; Metazoa; Arthropoda; Malacostraca; Isopoda; Munnopsidae. The record is from RNAcentral.
UACCUGGUUGAUCCUGCCAGUAGUCAUAUGCUUGUCUCAAAGAUUAAGCCAUGCAUGUCUGAGUACAGACCGAUCUAAGGUGAAACCGCGAAUGGCUCAUUAAAUCAGUCAUAAUUCCUUGGAUAGUGAAAAACUUCCUCGGAUAACUGUGGAAAAUCCAGAGCUAAUACGUGCAACCUGAGCUCCGACCUCGGCGCGAGCCUUGGGAAGAGCGCAUUUAUUAGAUUCAAAACUGACCGGCGUACUCCUCCGGGAUGCGUCGUUUGUCGAAAGUUUGAUGACUCCGGAUAACUUAGCCGAGCGCUCCGGUCCUUGAACCGGCGCCGUAUCUUUCAAGUGUCUGCCUUAUCAGCUUUCGAUUGUAGGUUAAACGCCUACAAUGGCUGUAACGGGUAACGGGGAAUCAGGGUUCGAUUCCGGAGAGGGAGCCUGAGAAACGGCUACCACAUCUAAGGAAGGCAGCAGGCACGCAAAUUACCCACUCCCAGUUCGGGGAGGUAGUGACGAAAAAUAACGAUGCGAGACUCUUCCGAGGCCUCGCAAUCGGAAUGAGUCCAUUUUAAAUCCUUGGACGAGGAUCCAUUGGAGGGCAAGUCUGGUGCCAGCAGCCGCGGUAAUUCCAGCUCCAAUAGCGUAUAUUAAAGUUGCUGCGGUUAAAAAGCUCGUAGUUGGACUUCCUAGAUCCAUUUCGCGAGCGAGUCGCUCGUUGAGCUAGCGUCUCGCGUAAGUCGCUCGAUGACGACGCGGUGCGCGGUUGGCUUCUCUCUUUCGGGAGGUCGUCUUCCCGCUCGCGCUCGGAAUCUUGAGGACGGCGAGGAGUUGUCUUCGAGUAUUGCUCGUUCGCGUUUGGUACAAUUAAAAUUUUGUCGGCUCGCUCGGAGUGCUCUUCACCGAGUGUUCCAGGGUGGCCGACACGUUCACUUUGAAAAAAUUAGAGUGCUUAAAGCGGGCUUAUACGUGGCCUGAAUGUCUGUGCAUGGAAUGAAGUAACAGGACCUCGAUUCUGUUUUUUUUGUCGGUUUUAUUGAACCGAGGUAAUGAUUAAAAGGGACAGACGGUGGCAUUAGUAUUGCGGCGCUAGAGGUGAAAUUCUUGGACCGCUGCAAGACUAACUACUGCGAAAGCAUUUUGCCGAGAAUGUUUUCAUUAAUCAAGAACGAAAGUUAGAGGAUCGAAGGCGAUCAGAUACCGCCCUAGUUCUAACCCUAAACUAUGCUAACUAGCGAUCCGCCGGAGUCAAUCCCACGACUCGGCGGGAAGCCCAGGGAAACCAAAGUCUUUGAGUUCCGGGGGAAGUAUGGUUGCAAAGCUGAAACUUAAAGGAAUUGACGGAAGGGCACCACCAGGAGUGGAGCCUGCGGCUUAAUUUGACUCAACACGGGAAACCUCACCAGGCCCGGACAUCAUAAGGAUUGACAGGUUGAGAGCUCUUUCUCGAUUUGAUGGGUGGUGGUGCAUGGCCGUUCUUAGUUGGUGGAGUGAUCUGUCUGGUUGAUUCCGAUAACGAACGAGACUCUACCCUACUAACUAGUCGGCGGAUCGUAACCCUGAGAUGGUUAGUUGACAUAGGUAGGAAUGUCCUAGGCGAGUUACUUUCGUCCGUGCGUGCGCGCGCGCGUUCUUAGAGAAUAUUUCGGUAUCGCUCGGGGAUGUGUCGUGUCGCGCGUUCGGUUCGGAGGCGGCUUCGUCGAAGCUUCUCUCUGAUUGUCGCUACUGCUGGGGGCGUCCGUCGCAAUGUAUCUUCUUAGAGGGAUCAGCGGCGUAUAGCGCACGAGAAAGAGCAAUAACAGGUCUGUGAUGCCCUUAGAUGUUCUGGGCCGCACGCGCGCUACAAUGUAGAGAUCAGCGUGCUUUCCCCCUCCGAAAGGAGCGGGUAACCCGUUGAAACCCCUACCCGAUUGGGAUUGGGGAUUGCAAAUAUUUCCCAUAAACGAGGAAUUCCCAGUAAGCGCGAAUCAUUAAUUCGCGCUGAUAUACGUCCCUGCCCCUUUGUACACACCGCCCGUCGCUACUACCGAUUGAAUGAUUCAGUGAGGGCAUCGGACUGGCGCCUUCGGUUUAGUAACAUAGACCUUAGGCUGACGGAAAGAUGUCCGAACUUGAUCAUUUAGAGGAAGUAAAAGUCGUAACAAGGUUUCCGUAGUGAACCUGCGGAAGGAUCAUUA